This 2337-nucleotide long non-coding RNA is filed under the name Fragaria vesca (wild strawberry). RNAcentral describes it as "long non-coding RNA (FVES_LNC003120)". Lineage: Eukaryota; Viridiplantae; Streptophyta; Magnoliopsida; Rosales; Rosaceae. The record is from RNAcentral.
CUGCGCCGGGCACCUUAAAUUCUGAUUUCAUCUCCCAUCAUAUUCAACCUCGAGCUACUUCUACAGUCCUACUCGAGUAGUUCUUCAUCUCCUUCGCCCACUUGAAGCACUGUAUGUAUCUCAGUCUUCAAUUCUCCUUCGGCAGAGCUCUGGACACAGCUACACCCAAAGGAGAACGGGUACAAACCAUCUUAAGCAUCUUGAGUGUUGGUUCAAUUUUUGAUUAAUGGCUGGAAUGGGUUUCUUCCAAAUUGAAGCUCAAUUCCAUCACCAGUAUUCUCUCAUCUCUCAAAUGGCUUCUCUUUUUUUUUUUUUUUUUUUUUUUUCUUCUUCGUAUGGGUUACUCACAUGAUGCAGCCUUAAAUAGAAUCAUAGCAAAUUUGUUGAUCAAAUUUACUUACUUUUAUUGUUCGAGUUCACAGUAUUGAUUAAAUUUCUUUGUUUUUUUGUUGUUGUUUAAGUUCAUCAGUUGACGGGAACUCUCAAAAGAGAAAGAGAAAGAGGACGUCAUACGGUUUGAUGUGUUUUGUAAAAGAUGAACAUGAAUGAUUUUUCUUUUUUGGUCAGAGAACAUGAAUUUAUUCAAGACAUAAACAAUUUGUUUUUCUUAGUUUCCUUUUGCUGUAUGGGAAAACUGAAGAUGGAGUUUGGGAGGAGAGAUUACCUGUUAGUGGAGUGGGUAUGUAAACCCAAAUGAAUGAUAGUCAAACUAGUCUCUCCAAGGAAAAAGUGCCUGAAAAUAUCUCCUUCUCUCUCUAGAGAAAAACUUUCUUUUCUUUGAGAAAGAACCCAGGUCUUCCCCUCUUCCCCUCUCUCUCGUCAAGGAUCUAGAUCUCAGAUCUGGAUCUUUGGCUUGAGAGUAGUGGGAGUUUCCUCUGCCUCGAUGAUGGCGGGUCCCUUUUUUCUUUUGCUUUUGUUUUCCUCUACUGCUCAAAUCCCUUCCGAUCUUUCCUAGCCUUUCGAUUUUGGAUUUCCCAUCUCUUUCAACCUUCUCCAAUACACCAGAUCUUUGAUUCUUCAUGCCUAAGAUGCACAUCCUCCUUCAGCAGACCUAACUUCACCGAUUGUUCGUUGGUCCUUCGGAGCUCCGAUGCCGGCGUCGUUUGGAUCGUCUGUUUCAAAAGGGUUUUCCCGUUAUUGCACGUAAAUCCGAUGGUCUCGAUAGUGCCAAAAGAGGCUGCUUGUCUGUCUCUACUUUGAUUCCUUUGCGGAUCGACUCUUUCUCUCUCAUCUCUUCUUCUUUUUUGUACUUUUUUGGUUCUGAUGUUAGUUUUAGAGGAUGUUUUGUAUGGUUCAAAGAUAUGGGUUAUGGAGAUCCUUGUAGGGGUUAUAUUCUUCUGUUCUUGUAUGGGAUUGUAUUGGUUGAUUUUCGAGUUUUCUUCGGCAGAUCUAGUGAUGGUCCUGGGUUAUGUUUGGGUGGUGAUGGUGGCGUCAGCGUCUCCAUACCCCUUGCUCCUGAUUAAUCUGCUCCUGUGGAUGAAGCUUGUUGAUGCUAUGAUGUUCUGGGUUUAUGUAUGGGUUUAUGUAUCUAACUCCAUGAGUGAGUCUUGUUUUUAAUUUUUGUAUUCAAUUCUGUUGAAUAAAAAUAUCCUGCCUUUGCCACACAAAAAAAAAACCCAAAUGAAUGAUGAAUCGAUGUAGGUUUUUGUGAAUUGAAAAGUCAAAUAGCUAGGUUUUAAUAGGUAAUUAAGAUUGUUUUUUGUUUUUUAUUUCAUUAUUCAUUUUUGUUUGGAAUUUAUUUAUUUUAGGGUUUGAUGGGUGAAAAUGUCUAUCUUGCCCUUAACUUUCGACUCAACUUAAUCACAUAUGGUCAGCAUUAACGUUGAUGUGACGGAAGUGAACUGUAGGUACUAUAAAAAUAUGAAAAUAUGAGUCUGGGUACUAUUUUGAUAACUUUGUAAGUUCAGGUAUCAUAUUGUCAAUCAUUCAAGUCUCCAAACACCGUUGGUGCAAAAAAUCCCAUUAACAAUGGGUGCUGAAAUCUACACACCUUUUUUUACAAACCACACACCCUUUGUUUUUUUAAUAAUAUCAUACCUCACAUCCUUUUAUACUUCCUGCUGUUGUAAAUAUUAUAAUAUAUGUGGAUGUCCUUGUAAAUACUCAUUAGUAUGUCCUUAAUAUGUAAAUCAUACUCCUAUAUAAAGGAGCCUAAUGAAAAUGAAAGUGACACUUCUUUCUCCUCCUACAUUUUGUUCUUCUCUUUUCUCUCUAUCUCAUUCUUAGUUUAUAACACGUUAUCAGCACGUUUUCGCUCAUUCGUUUCAUAAACUCCAUGACGAUCUAUGAGAUAUUGGUGCAACUUUUGUUGCUUAUUAUCCAUACUCACGAUCUAUG